Molecule: long non-coding RNA, 905 nt
Organism: Sycon ciliatum
Lineage: Eukaryota; Metazoa; Porifera; Calcarea; Leucosolenida; Sycettidae
Exons: 3
Source: RefSeq, a predicted model, not a curated record
UUGUUGACACGUGACCCAAUUACCGGCCUACCAAGUGCCUUUGGUGACCGCUAACAGCAACUGUGGAACAGUGCAGCGCCCUUUUUUGGAGCAACGUACGAGUAGUGCCCAUGGAUUAUGACCCCGCGACCCCAAUCUACGUGGCGGUCCGCAAUUCGCUACUUCAUACUGACUGGCGUCCGGCAUCGUCCCGAAUUUGGCCACAAUCUGCUCUCGGGACCCCUAUAGGGCUCCCUGACCUGCUCCAUCUCCGCCAUGCAUCGUCAAUGUACUGCGCAUCCACCCAGGCCAGGACUGCACUUACUUACGGGAAGGAGUAUUUGCAAGAUGGAACCUGGGAACUGGAAGACGACGAAGAGGAAGCGUGGGAAUCCGGCGGCAAUGGCUGGGAUGUAAGUCCAACAUUGCUGGUGCCAGAGUUGCCACUGCUUGCUUAUAAGGGAAUCAUGUGUGUUGCCUUUUUGCCUUUUCCGACGUCCUCCUCCGACUGUACUCCCGAUCCCAGGACUGAACUUACGGGAAGGAGUGCUUCCAAGAUGGGAGACGAAGAAGAAGAAGAAGCCGCUGAAUCCGGCGGCAAUGGCUGGGAUUGUCGGACUGUCCGCGUCGCAUUGAACUGGUCCGAUGAGGCUGCUAUUGCACACACAGUGAGGGAACUCCCAUACGGGAACUCGGAAGUACUGCUACAGUACAGGUAUAUCACCCCGUGACGACCACAUCGAAGUCUGAAAUUGAAGUGUGAAGAUGCUUCAGCAACCCCUUCAUAUUUUUCCAUUGCUUUUAUUGUGCUUCUACUGUGCAUGUGUGUAACCUGUGGGGUAUGCAUGUGAUGACAAUGUAUGCCGGUGACACGGUCAGAUUUUGUCCAUGCGUGUAACGUACACCUGCAUGCUAUCGUUGAAAAG